AACUCUAUGCAGUGGCCCCUUCGGCUCGUGGUUCGAUGAAGAGCGCUACCAACUGUGUGAAUUAACGUGAAUCACAGACUGCUUUCAACAUCGAACUCUUGAACGCGAAUUGCGGCCGUAGGUUUGCCUACGGCUACAUCUGGCCGAGAGUUG
This 153-nucleotide ribosomal RNA is filed under the name Schistocephalus solidus. RNAcentral's name for it is "5.8S ribosomal RNA". It matches the Rfam family "5.8S ribosomal RNA". Rfam says of the family: 5.8S ribosomal RNA (5.8S rRNA) is a component of the large subunit of the eukaryotic ribosome. The record is from Rfam by way of RNAcentral. Lineage: Eukaryota; Metazoa; Platyhelminthes; Cestoda; Diphyllobothriidea; Diphyllobothriidae.